UACGUAGGGGGCGAGCGUUGUCCGGAGUUACUGGGCGUAAAGGGCCCGCAGGCGGUUCGGCCGAUUCAGACUGACAAUUCUGCCCUUAAUGCAGAGAGGCGUCUGAAAACUGCCGAACUUGAGGCAAUGAGAGGGACAGGGAAUUCCGGGUGGAGUGGUGAAAUGCGUAGAUAUCAGGAGGAACACCUGUGGCGAAAGCGGCUCACUGGACCAUUACUGACGCUGAUGCUCGAAAGCUAGGGGAGCAAACAGG
This 253-nucleotide ribosomal RNA is filed under the name uncultured prokaryote. RNAcentral's name for it is "partial 16S ribosomal RNA". It matches the Rfam family "Bacterial small subunit ribosomal RNA", at positions 524 to 776 of the family's 1533-position model. The record is from RNAcentral.